This 244-nucleotide long non-coding RNA is filed under the name Brachypodium distachyon (stiff brome). RNAcentral's name for it is "long non-coding RNA (BDIS_LNC005065)". Lineage: Eukaryota; Viridiplantae; Streptophyta; Magnoliopsida; Poales; Poaceae. The record is from RNAcentral.
GUCAGUUGACCUUGGAGUAUCCCCACCUGAUCUUCAGCUAUGUCUGUACGGGUCAUCUCGUUGUAGAGACUCUUUCCUAUGUCCACCAUGUUCUGCUCCAGAGCUUGAAACUGAACAUCCUCCAUGUGGGGAUCCUCGCCUAGGAUCUCCGGUCCCACGGCAUUCCCGCCAACAACUCGCCUUCCGAAGCUACGGAAGACAGAGUCCGGAGGCGGUUCAUCAUGGUACGCCUCGCACACACGGG